UUAGUUUAAAUAUGAAUAUUUUCGUUUGCAUCCGUUCAAAAUUAGAUGUCUGAAAAUUAUUUUUUUCUGCCUAAAAGUCACGAGAAAAGCAUUUCGCUUUACCACAAUAUAAUACAAAACUGUGCGGGCGAUGGCGUGUACAUUUCAAUAACAAUACUGUAGACAAUGAGUUGUGGGCUGCCUGUUGCUCGAUCUGGUUAUAUCAUAUUUCACGACUUCUCGUUUUGUUUAGUCACAUUGUGAAGGGGAAACAAUGCACACAAUGCGAGAACAGAAGCAACACGGAUUAAGUUUUUCCGAACGAAAAGCGAGCCACUGGAUGACCAACCUAGAAUCUCGUUCACCCUGUGCCAUGCAGCAAUGCGCUGUUACAUGAAUCGCAAGUCAAUAGAUGUCUGCUGACAUUCAACUGACAGGAGGAAUGACACAGCCAGAUGUGCCAUGAAGAGAGUACUACAACAGACUUCCAAAACUCGUCUUUGAACAAUCUCGGCAUUCGGGCUUUUAUUACAAUAUAUUUCCUCAACUGGCCCAACUGCAAUGACAAGAGGAAGAUUUACGUUAAAAAUUAGCCGCUGUCGAUAAGUUGUGAAGGAACAUUAAUGAGCUGGGUGGUUUGGAAUAACUGUACUAUUUGAAGGUGUUUACAAAGGCAAUUACCAUAUAUAUUUUCGUUUGGUAUGUCUUUAUACGUUCUCGCGUGCUGUCUUAUUUUGUAUAAUCUGCUUAAUUACCCAAUACAAACACUCAAUUGAGGACAUUCAGAAUUACUGGGAUGGAAACAAUGGAAAGUAAAAAGAAGUAAAGAAGAUAUCGGUAAAGCAUAUAGGUUUGAUUGCCGAAAAGCUUCAACGGGUGCACAAUUAUUUAUGAUAGCACCAUUAAAAAAUUUCGAAGCGAUCACAACGCAUCACGCGACGCAUAACCCGCAUCCGUCCCGAAUAAUCAAUAUUUUUACAAACAAACAGACAACUCGACUCCUUCUUUAACUGCCAUCAUCGGUGCUGAUCUAACACAUCACAACCAAAUCAUUCACACACCAAUUUAUUUUCUGACAAAUAUCCAGAGAUAUUAAUAUGUGCCAGUGAAAAUAAAAACAACAACACUUCUUUGUCUCCAA
Long non-coding RNA from Bactrocera oleae (olive fruit fly), 1120 nucleotides. RefSeq lists it as uncharacterized. The record is from RefSeq and is a predicted model, not a curated record. Lineage: Eukaryota; Metazoa; Arthropoda; Insecta; Diptera; Tephritidae.